UGCAUUGGGAAUACGAGAGUGGACAUAAUGGAUUUUGUCAUGAAGCUUAAAGAUUCCAAAUAAAAAUGUACUUCAGUUUUCUUGCUACUGCCAUGAAACAUUGUUGAAAAGCUUGUUAGUUUUAUAAUAGAAGUUUCCUGCACUUGUUUUUAAUAACAUUUAUAAUUGAUGGAAUAUAUCUUCUAUCAGUCCAAUGAGUAAACAUGGUCCACAUAGAUAAUUUUCUUUUCUGCCGACUCUAAAGUUGCCGACUUAAAAGUUACUCCCAAAAUGGUUACCUACUGGGGAUUACAUGUACAUGUUUGUAAUGAGGUGUGGAGGAUAGAGCGCUUGAGAUUAUGUUUAUUACAAAUUUUCCAUGAAUCCACUCAAGAGAAAAUGUCUCUCUCAAGUGUUUUUCAAAUAUAGUAAGAUGCAGAUGAUUUUCACUUUCAAAUGCAGCUCAAGAGGGAACUGCUGCUUUUGACUGUGAGUGUUGGAACUGCUUGCGGUGGAUAUUGUCUGAUAGCUUUGUCAGUCCAGGCUGCUGUGAGCUAUAUGACAGGAGUGUUGUUCAGCUGCCUAUACUUCCACCUCUUAUGCAAACAUGCAGACAAUGUAUCAAAAGAAAAUGUUCCACAGAUUUUCACGAAAAAGAAGUCAAAAAAAAUAGGAAUAAGAAGCCAAGAUCUGCAGGAUCUAUUUGAGAGAACCGUAAAGGGUAGUGGUAUCGCUCUUUCAUCUCCGAGGCUUGUCAUUCUUGCCGCAAUAUAUGGACUAUGGGAACUGUCUCAACAUUUUGGCCAUGAUAUUUUUGAUUUUCAGCUAGUGCCUGCUAUGGUCGGAUUGUUUGCAUAUAAGGCUGCUGCACUUGUGCAAGUCUACCGAGACAAUGAAGACCUUCAAUUUAUUUUCCCUGAUAAUGCAGAAGGGUCAAGUGACUGAACUAAGGAUUUGUAAAAAGAGGCGCAUUCGUCUUUGUCCAUUAAAAGAGUUGGAUUCUUCCUUAAGGUCGUCAACUAGUCAGGUUUCUCAAUGUUCUGUUUUUUCUAUCCCCGCAAUACCCUUUCUUUUUUUUUUUUUUUGCCCUUUUUCAUGAAGGUCGAUCCUAGAUUCUUUCGAAUCUAAAAAAGUCUCGGGCGAAUUGAAAAUUACAAAGCCUAAAUUUGUCUGGAUCGACUUUGACACUAAUAGCAGCCGUGCCAUUAGAGCCUGGACAUUGUAAUCUCACUGGCAGGAUCAGAAACAAAGCACUAGCCUAGGAAUAAGUUGACCGUAUCCUCUUUUCUUGUAAUUUUCUGUGUUGAGAUUCUACAUUAUAGCAAUUGUUUCCAAGCUCUGGGUUUAUCCUACAAGACCCGGAAAACACCAUCAUUUUCUGCUUUCUCCAAUUCUUUUUCAGCUUUCAAGUUGAAAGUAGGAUAAGUUGGUGGGAGCUACGAUAUUUAAUGUAUUCAAGUUACUCUCAUGAAAAGCCCAUUUUCACUGUUCUUUUUCUU
RNA transcript from Olea europaea var. sylvestris, 1478 nucleotides. RefSeq lists it as uncharacterized. The transcript has 6 exons. The record is from RefSeq and is a predicted model, not a curated record. Lineage: Eukaryota; Viridiplantae; Streptophyta; Magnoliopsida; Lamiales; Oleaceae.